This 72-nucleotide transfer RNA is filed under the name Candidatus Wildermuthbacteria bacterium. RNAcentral's name for it is "tRNA-Thr". It matches the Rfam family "tRNA". Rfam says of the family: Transfer RNA (tRNA) molecules are approximately 80 nucleotides in length. Their secondary structure includes four short double-helical elements and three loops (D, anti-codon, and T loops). Further hydrogen bonds mediate the characteristic L-shaped molecular structure. tRNAs have two regions of fundamental functional importance: the anti-codon, which is responsible for specific mRNA codon recognition, and the 3' end, to which the tRNAs corresponding amino acid is attached (by aminoacyl-tRNA synthetases). tRNAs cope with the degeneracy of the genetic code in two manners: having more than one tRNA (with a specific anti-codon) for a particular amino acid; and 'wobble' base-pairing, i.e. permitting non-standard base-pairing at the 3rd anti-codon position. Lineage: Bacteria; Candidatus Wildermuthiibacteriota. The record is from RNAcentral.
GCCCGGGUAGCUCAACAGCAGAGCAGUUGCUUUGUAAGCAUCAGGUUGGGGGUGCAAGUCCUCUCCCGGGCU